Molecule: long non-coding RNA, 717 nt
Filed under: Monodelphis domestica (gray short-tailed opossum)
Lineage: Eukaryota; Metazoa; Chordata; Mammalia; Didelphimorphia; Didelphidae
Description: lncRNA (ENSMODG00000047056.1)
Source: RNAcentral
GCUAGGUUUAGGAAAGAUAUAGAAGGUUAUCCAAUCCAGGUGCUUUUUUUCUUAAUUGGGGAAACUGACCCAACCUUGCCAAAGAUGAUAUCACCAUCUCUUCCAUUGUGAUGGUAGCCUGUGUCUUUGUUAACUAAGCUACAAAAGAAAUUAUAGAAUACAGAAGUUAUGGGUGACAGUCAGACAAGAAGCCUAUAGAGGGAAUCAGAGAACUUUCAUUUUCUUCACAGAUAAGGGUAAAAUUAUUUCCUGACUUGGAAAGAAGAAAAAUUGGUGAACAAUGAACUGAGAUCUAAGACAGUUUAGAAGAGUGCACAGUUGCCUUCAGUAAAUUCAAGGAACUGGUCCAAGGGCGAGUCCUGCCUGAGAUUUCUCUUGCAAACCGAAGCAAAGAAUUAAUUUUAGCUCCUGGUAUGCUCUGCCUCCCCUCUCAAUAAAGGAAAGCAGCUUGGCUUUUUGGAAUUAUGUCAAGACAGAUGGAUCUUAUAGAACACAGAAUGGGAGUCUCCAGGAAGAGAGAAGAAGGGAGAUAUGGCGGUUUUCCAAUGGAAGCAGGAUGACAAUGACAACAGCUACUGCCAGCCAAAUUUGCAGUACAUUUCUUUAAGACCACAAGACAUGGUCUUCUUAAUGGGCAAGUUGGGAGGUACAUGUAUAUUGUGGAUUUUUAUCUUUCAUUCACUUUGGUAGCAGGAGUGCUGAGACUCACCUGGCUUC